RNAcentral lists this non-coding RNA (30 nucleotides) under Mus musculus (house mouse). Lineage: Eukaryota; Metazoa; Chordata; Mammalia; Rodentia; Muridae. The record is from RNAcentral.
UGGAAUAACAGUACCUCUAGGGACCAAAUU